RNAcentral lists this ribosomal RNA (253 nucleotides) under uncultured bacterium. RNAcentral describes it as "partial 16S ribosomal RNA". It matches the Rfam family "Bacterial small subunit ribosomal RNA", at positions 524 to 776 of the family's 1533-position model. The record is from RNAcentral.
UACGAAGGGGGCUAGGGUUGUUCGGAGUAACCGGGCGGAAAGCGCAUGUCGGCGGAUCUUUAAGUCAGAGGUGAAAUCCCAGGGCUCAACCCCGGCAUUGCCUUUGAUACUGGAGAUCUGGAGUCUGGGAGAGGUGAGUGGAAUUCCGAGUGUAGAGGUGAAAUUCGUAGAUAUAAGGAGGAACACCAGUGGCGAAGGCGGCUCACUGGCCCGAGACUGACGCUGAGAUGCGCAAGCGUGGCGAGCAAACAGG